CUACACUUUACCAGUUUCGUUUCCUAUUACUUCUUCUCCUUCAAAAGCACCCAACGGCCCCUCUCGGGGGCCUCUUUCUUUCUUUAUACCCCAUAAGCUUUCUUCAAGAACUGCUUUCUUUAUUUUGUCACUGAACAGAGCUUCUUCUUCUUCUUUACGCAAUAACCAAUUCAAAUUAUAAUGUUAAUGGUGGUGAUGCAAAGUGAUCCUUGCUCUCCAUUAAAGAGCAAGAACACAACUUUCCCUCCAAUCCCAAAGCGAGGCAGAGUCAAAGCUCAGAUUUUUGAGAGCUUCGCCAAGGCUGUUGUUGCUGUGGCGUCUAAGGCAGGAGGAACUCUGAAAAGGAACGGCGAGGGAGACGGCGGAGACAGCGGAUGUCCUUCCCCUGCAACCCCACCAUCAAGCCCUCUUAAAUCCUAUCCAUUUUAAUUAAGCCCUUGUUUUGAUAUAUGUGUCCCCUGUGAAACUCAUACUUCAGCUAGUUUUAGCAGGGAUUAUAUAUAUGUGCUUGUGUAGAUUUUGUAAGUUGGUGUAUUUGUUAUUGUGGUUUGGUUUAUUUUAGAGGCUUUUUUUCUCUAGAUAAGCCAUAGUUUCCAUAUUGUCAUUUCUGAAGCUUUAAAGAAGAGAUGAUAAAAUAUAGGUUUAUGUGUUUGUAUUUAUGGUUUCUUAUUUGUUUGCUUUCUGUAAUUUUUAAAAUUUAGGUCUUGUAUUUUGUUAAAUAUAAUGGCAAUGGAUUUUAUGUUUGCCUUUACA
Long non-coding RNA from Jatropha curcas, 753 nucleotides. RefSeq lists it as uncharacterized. NCBI's taxonomy places the organism in Eukaryota, Viridiplantae, Streptophyta, Magnoliopsida, Malpighiales, Euphorbiaceae. The record is from RefSeq and is a predicted model, not a curated record.